This 68-nucleotide transfer RNA is filed under the name uncultured Sphingomonas sp. RNAcentral's name for it is "tRNA-Ala-CGC". Lineage: Bacteria; Pseudomonadati; Pseudomonadota; Alphaproteobacteria; Sphingomonadales; Sphingomonadaceae. The record is from RNAcentral.
CAACCUGUACAACAUGCACUGCAAUCGCGCUGCAGAGGUCAGGGGUUCGAUUCCCCUCAGCUCCACCA